CCAGUCCACAUGCCUGUGCUACUUGUUCAAUGGUGGUCAGCAGCCUGCAGAGUGACAUAACUCACUAUCCACUGUCUAAAAGCUGAAUCACAGCCACCUUGUGCUUUAUAGAUAUUUGAACAAAACUGUAAAAGACUUCCCUGUGACUACGGAUUCUCUUCGCUUUAGCAUUCCUAAAUUAAGAUGCACCCGGACCCCUGGUUCCUCCAGCACAGGCCCAGACAUUUCAAUUGCUGACUUCAAACUCACUCAUGAAAAGAUGAAACCAUUCCUUAAAAGGCUUCCCACUGGGAGAUUUUGUUCAAUUUACAUCGCAAUUCAACAAAAG
Long non-coding RNA from Fukomys damarensis (Damara mole-rat), 328 nucleotides. RefSeq lists it as uncharacterized. The transcript has 4 exons. The record is from RefSeq and is a predicted model, not a curated record. Lineage: Eukaryota; Metazoa; Chordata; Mammalia; Rodentia; Bathyergidae.